RNAcentral lists this small nucleolar RNA (133 nucleotides) under Carlito syrichta (Philippine tarsier). The record is from RNAcentral. Lineage: Eukaryota; Metazoa; Chordata; Mammalia; Primates; Tarsiidae.
GUGCACAUUUCAUUGACCUGCUUUCUUUUUGUAUAUGUGAACAGUGUUAUUUCUUAUGUGUUAUAUAAAUAGUUGAAGGUUAAUUAGCAGUAUGACUGUGAAUAGUAAUGCUGCAAGUCUCCUUCAGACAAAA